RNAcentral lists this ribosomal RNA (253 nucleotides) under uncultured bacterium. RNAcentral describes it as "partial 16S ribosomal RNA". It matches the Rfam family "Bacterial small subunit ribosomal RNA", at positions 524 to 776 of the family's 1533-position model. The record is from RNAcentral.
UACAGAGGUCCCAAGCGUUGUUCGGAUUCAUUGGGCGUAAAGGGUGCGUAGGCGGCGCGGUAAGUCGGGUGUGAAAUCUCGGAGCUUAACCCCGAAACUGCAUUCGAUACUGCCGUGCUUGAGGACUGGAGAGGAGACUGGAAUUUACGGUGUAGCGGUGAAAUGCGUAGAUAUCGUAAGGAAGACCAGUGGCGAAGGCGGGUCUCUGGACAGUUCCUGACGCUGAGGCACGAAGGCCAGGGGAGCAAACGGG